This 90-nucleotide small RNA is filed under the name unclassified sequences. Its description in RNAcentral is "GA-cis RNA". It matches the Rfam family "GA-cis RNA". The record is from Rfam by way of RNAcentral.
GAGAGGAGGCCCCAAAUGCUGCGCAGCAGCAUUGCUGUAAAGGUGCCGACGACAUGCCGCCGAAGCGCAGCUGAGGGGGCGAUACGACAG